GAUGAACGCUGGCGGCGUGCCUAAUACAUGCAAGUCGAGCGAACAGACGAGGAGCUUGCUCCUCUGACGUUAGCGGCGGACGGGUGAGUAACACGUGGAUAACCUACCUAUAAGACUGGGAUAACUUCGGGAAACCGGAGCUAAUACCGGAUAAUAUAUUGAACCGCAUGGUUCAAUAGUGAAAGACGGUUUUGCUGUCACUUAUAGAUGGAUCCGCGCCGCAUUAGCUAGUUGGUAAGGGAACGGCUUACCAAGGCAACGAUGCGUAGCCGACCUGAGAGAGGAUCGGCCACACUGGAACUGAGACACGGUCCAGACUCCUACGGGAGGCAGCAGUAGGGAAUCUUCCGCAAUGGGCGAAAGCCUGACGCAGCAACGCCGCGUGAGUGAUGAAGGUCUUCGGAUCGUAAAACUCUGUUAUUAGGGAAGAACAAAUGUGUAAGUAACUAUGCACGUCUUGACGGUACCUAAUCAGAAAGCCACGGCUAACUACGUG
This 496-nucleotide ribosomal RNA is filed under the name uncultured bacterium. RNAcentral describes it as "partial 16S ribosomal RNA". It matches the Rfam family "Bacterial small subunit ribosomal RNA", at positions 28 to 507 of the family's 1533-position model. The record is from RNAcentral.